GAUAACAAAAAUUGUGAUGUUUGUGACUCAUGGAGUUUUUAUUUGUAUUUUAAGGAUCGUCAUACCAUUUUAAGAUCCUGGGAUGUGAAAGACUUUACACCAGACUGUCGUCAGUAUCUUUACCUCUUAUUGCCGGCAAUAAAAUACAUAUGAAACUUGAUCAUAUUGUGCGUGAAGAUGGGUUAGGGUUAGGUUAGAUGAGUUCAGCUUUGCCUUGUUAGCCAACAACUGUCUGUAUCCUGGACUGUCCAUACUUGUAUUAUUGCUGGUACAUUUUCAGCAGUGAGCCAUGGCAGCAGUCAUAUAGAAGGCAUGCUGGGAAUGAAAUUCAUCACAUACAGCUGCAAAAAAGUGUUUUCAUUGGUAAUUAUGUGGGCUACACAAGCCUCAGCUGAUGCUCACCAAAGGCAACUUCAAAACUACUUUGUCAACUAUCCAGAGAUUCAGGGGAAUGAAAUCUUAGACUAUUUAUAAUUAAGAUGUUCCUUCAGAGUUGAAAACAACUACAUUCUAGCUUGAACGUCCCACAAGAAGAUGUGAGGUGGCAGCAGGCAGGGGUCUAACCUAGGAUCAUGGAGACCACUAAACGAUAGUCCAGAGUGUAUAUGAUUGAUUGAGUAGACAAAGAAGGGAUGGAUUACUGGAGCUAAAAGAAGGCAUAAUUUAACAAUAGACUACUUUGGGAUAUGGAAUGAGAGAGGCUAUAGUGUUGAUUAUAUAAAUAUGUAGGUCUCAGCUGGGGCUGCACAGCCACGGAAAAUACUGCAUUCCUAACUUAUCUUGGGACUUAUUAUUAAGCUGCCAUUAUCCAAGGACAUAUGAUUCUCUGGAGGCUUACAUCACUGGAAAAAGUCUUUGGGCCCCUGAAGAUUACAGUACAUGUAAUGCUGCAAAAGGAGGAGGAUGCUGGGCCAGGGUAAACACUUCAUAACAUAAUGACAUACACAUACAACUCAAUUUACUUCUAUUGGCUGGAAAUAUUUAAAGCAUGACAGUGGCGUAGGUAAAUUACCAAAUAGUGGAUCUUAUGUUGGAUUGAUCAGCCCUGAUGAACUGACCUGACCAUUGUAAUUGAAACCAUAACUCAUGACCACUCUAUCUGUAUAGGUCCUGGUAUACCCUGGGAUGAUGUUCACCCACAACUUUUAACUUGAAAUCUUAAAGGAAGUUUUGCUAAACUAACAAGCAUGAAUGUCUGGUACAGUAAGAUAGGGUUAAUGGUCAACCUGACAUUAUGGUUCAUUCAUUGGGACAACUAAUGUUUGUGUCUGGCUUGAUGAAGUCUACAAACUGACCACUAUAUCUACUGGACAAAAAGGAUCAUAUUCUGACCCCGUCCCUCCCAACCAUUUCCUCUGCCUCAUCUUGAUGACUUUGAAGGGUACAAAUGCACUUGGAGCUUUUGAUGGUGUUCUGUUCAAUGCAACAAUUCCCACAUCUCCAGCAGCUGGCUUUGCAGCUAUUGGCGCAGACAGUUAUGGCUUGGAUGAUUUUGAUAAUUAUCUGCUUCCGCUCUUCAAAACUCAAACGCACGUCUGCCAUGUUACAGUUAAUUCCUUGCCACUCUGGUACUGUGUGUGGUACAGAACCACCUUCACAUUUAUUUUUCUAAUUAGACAUUAAGCUUUCCAUGUGCUGAAAUUUAGCAUUGUAGAACCAUAACUAUUAACCUUUUAGAUUGUUAUCUUUCGUAAUGUUAAGACUAGAAAACAAGAUCUCAAAAUUAUAUUUAGGACGAUGAUUACAAUUACUUAGUCAAUUACUUAGAUAAAAUAAUUAUAAAACAAAAGUUAUAUAAAGACAUAAUUAUACAAUGUUUAUGUUUUGUAUGUUCAUAAAAAUGUGUAUAGCAGUGUUAUGGAGUGUGUGUGUGGGUGUUUUCAAGGUAACGUUGAGAAAUUAGCGAUUGGUUGGUGGAAAUGCAGUGAGGAUGGUGAAAUUACAAAAAUGGUCUAGUGUAAUGCAAAUUACCCAGGGAUCUGAAACUGUACAGACAGGUUUUUUGUAGUGAGUUAGAUUUUGUUUAAAAUACCAUUUUAUAUUAUUGCAUCUAGAUUUAUUUCAUUUCAUCUAGGUUAGUAUUAGGGUUAGUGUUAUGUUGUAAUAAAAGUUAUAUUUAGUUUUGUUUCAUAAAAAGAAGAUUUUUCAAGUUUCACAAUUAAAUAUAUAUAUAUGUAUAUAUCCAAGCAGUAGUUCUCACCAAACUUUCAUACGCUGGCAGAACUACCUUAAAAAAAAUGUUCUGCUGGAGGCUGGUGUGGGUAGUAUAGAAGAAAUACUUAUCAUUCAACAGCUGUGAUGGGUUGGAAAAUUAUCCCACAUGGGGGGCGACUGCAUGCCAAAUGGUAUCUUCAAGGAUGGCGUAACGGGGUGCUCCUGUAAGCACUAUAAAGAUUAACUCAGGCACCUUUUUGCCAUAGAGGAAAGUAGGUUGUAAUAGGGUUUAUGAAAACACUGCACUCAUCUUUUAUCUUCAGCAUCAUUAUUAUUAUUAAACCAUUACUCAAAUUUUGCUUUGUUAUUUUGCCAUGUAGAGAUUUACUGCUGGGGUGAACAAUGCUUAAAAAAAUACAAAUAUGCUGUGUUUUUACUUUGGCUCAGCGUUGGCUCCCACAUUUAUGUCUUUUGUAUUUUUCUAUUAUACCAGUUCUGUUACUAUGCAAAUGCAAAAAAAAAAAAAAAAAAAAAAUACAAGUUGUUGCACUAUUGAUAUUUUUUAUACUAAUUUUUUAUUUAUAUUAUUAAUUAUUUAUUAUUAUCUAAGCAUCUGUUUGUAUUUGAGCUGGGUAAUGAAUAUAGAUUCUUAAAUUUAAUUGUUGUUUGUUGCUUUCCUCACUUUUAAACUGUGACCAUGUAAAUUUUGUCUAGAUGGAGAAUGGUAAUGUAUUAGUGUCAAUGAUUACAUUGAGAAUGGUAAUGUCUUAGUGCCAAUGAUAACAGUGAGACAAUCAUUAGAUUGAGGAUGGUAAUGUCUUAGUGUCAAUGGUGUAACACUAUGAUUAGAGUGAGAUGGACGAGAUGAUUUCAGUUCACGUGAAAAUGGGUCUUACACAUUGUCAAGCAAAGAGGUACCAUUUUUGAUCACACGACCACGUUUUUUUUUAGUAAGUUAGCGCCAUGAUGUAUCAAGAGACGGAGGUGUCUCUGUUUUAUGAAAUUGGAUUAAAUAAUAUGAGUACCUAAUUGGAGCUUUUUCUAUGGAUGUAGUUUGUAUUUGAUAUGAAAUAAUUCGUGAUGCUAUUUUAUGGCUGAGAUUGCCUACUUUCUGAACUAUUAUUUGAUGUAAUAAAUAUUUGUCUGACA
Molecule: RNA transcript, 3303 nt
Organism: Biomphalaria glabrata
Lineage: Eukaryota; Metazoa; Mollusca; Gastropoda; Planorbidae
Exons: 12
Source: RefSeq, a predicted model, not a curated record